UAGGUGAACCUGCGGAAGGGAUCAUUAUCGUACUACAGAGGUGCUCAGGUUGUCGCUGACCUUUUGGUCGGUGCACGCCCGAGUGCUCUCAAUCCAUUUCACCCUUUGUGCAUCACCGCGCGGGGUCUCUUCCUCUUGGCUUGCUUCGAGAGGGGGAAUCUCGCGUUUUUCAUACGAACACCCUUCUAGUUUAGAAUGUCAUUCAUUUGCGAUCAUACGCAAUCAAUACAACUUUCAACAACGGAUCUCUUGGCUCUCGCAUCGAUGAAGAACGCAGCGAAAUGCGAUACGUAAUGUGAAUUGCAGAAUUCAGUGAAUCAUCGAAUCUUUGAACGCACCUUGCGCCCCUUGGUAUUCCGAGGGGCACACCCGUUUGAGUGUCGUGAAAUUCUCAAACCUUCUUGGUUUCUUGAUAAUCAAGAUGGCUUUGGACUUUGGAGGCAUUUGCUGGCUUUGCAAAAAGUCAGCUCCUCUUGAAUGCAUUAGUGGGGUCCCCUUUGCCGAUCCCCAGGCGUGAUAAGAUGUUUCUACGUCUUGGGAUUUGCUCUGUUCCUCGGGAACCCGCUUCUAACCGUCUCAUGGAAGACGUUGUUCGAGCUUGCUCGACCCACGA
Molecule: unclassified non-coding RNA, 613 nt
Filed under: fungal sp. TR-06M
Lineage: Eukaryota; Fungi
Description: partial contains 18S rRNA, ITS1, 5.8S rRNA, ITS2 and 28S RNA
Rfam family: 5.8S ribosomal RNA (bases 230-383)
Source: RNAcentral